AGAGUUUGAUCCUGGCUCAGGAUGAAUUCCGGCGGUGUGCCUAAUACAUGCAAGUCGUGCGCACUGGCCCAACUGAUUGAUGGUGCUUGCACCUGAUUGACGUUGGAUCACCAGUGAGUGGCGGACGGGUGAGUAACACGUAGGUAACCUGCCCCGGAGCGGGGGAUAACAUUUGGAAACAGAUGCUAAUACCGCAUAACAACAAAAGCCACAUGGCUUUUGUUUGAAAGAUGGCUUUGGCUAUCACUCUGGGAUGGACCUGCGGUGCAUUAGCUAGUUGGUAAGGUAACGGCUUACCAAGGCGAUGAUGCAUAGCCGAGUUGAGAGACUGAUCGGCCACAAUGGAACUGAGACACGGUCCAUACUCCUACGGGAGGCAGCAGUAGGGAAUCUUCCACAAUGGGCGCAAGCCUGAUGGAGCAACACCGCGUGAGUGAAGAAGGGUUUCGGCUCGUAAAGCUCUGUUGUUGGAGAAGAACGUGCGUGAGAGUAACUGUUCACGCAGUGACGGUAUCCAACCAGAAAGUCACGGCUAACUACGUGCCAGCAGCCGCGGUAAUACGUAGGUGGCAAGCGUUAUCCGGAUUUAUUGGGCGUAAAGCGAGCGCAGGCGGUUGCUUAGGUCUGAUGUGAAAGCCUUCGGCUUAACCGAAGAAGUGCAUCGGAAACCGGGCGACUUGAGUGCAGAAGAGGACAGUGGAACUCCAUGUGUAGCGGUGGAAUGCGUAGAUAUAUGGAAGAACACCAGUGGCGAAGGCGGCUGUCUGGUCUGCAACUGACGCUGAGGCUCGAAAGCAUGGGUAGCGAACAAGAUUAGAUACCCUGGUAGUCCAUGCCGUAAACGAUGAUGGCAAGUGGUUGGAGGGUUUCCCCCCCUUCAGUGCCCGGAGCUAACGCAUUAAGCACUCCGCUUGGGGAGUACGACCGCAAGAUUGAAACUUCAAAGGAAUUGACGGGGGCCCGCACAAGCGGUGGAGCAUGUGGUUUAAUUCGAAGCUACGCCGAAGAACCUUACCAGGUCUUGACAUCUUGCGCUAACCUUAGAGAUAAGGCGUUCCCUUCGGGGACGCAAUGACAGGUGGUGCAUGGUCGUCGUCAGCUCGUGUCGUGAGAUGUUGGGUUAAGUCCCGCAACGAGCGCAACCCUUGUUACUAGUUGCCAGCAUUAAGUUGGGCACUCUAGUGAGACUGCCGGUGACAAACCGGAGGAAGGUGGGGACGACGUCAGAUCAUCAUGCCCCUUAUGACCUGGGCUACACACGUGCUACAAUGGACGGUACAACGAGUCGCAAGCUCGCGAGAGUAAGCUAAUCUCUUAAAGCCGUUCUCAGUUCGGACUGUAGGCUGCAACUCGCCUACACGAAGUCGGAAUCGCUAGUAAUCGCGGAUCAGCAUGCCGCGGUGAAUACGUUCCCGGGCCUUGCACACACCGCCCGUCA
Molecule: ribosomal RNA, 1438 nt
Filed under: uncultured bacterium
Lineage: Bacteria
Description: bacterial SSU rRNA
Rfam family: Bacterial small subunit ribosomal RNA
Source: RNAcentral